Molecule: small RNA, 35 nt
Filed under: Bombyx mori (domestic silkworm)
Lineage: Eukaryota; Metazoa; Arthropoda; Insecta; Lepidoptera; Bombycidae
Description: ovarian small RNA-10031
Source: RNAcentral
AAACUAUUCAACAUGGACGUGCCGGAUAGUCUCGU